Molecule: ribosomal RNA, 253 nt
Filed under: [Lactobacillus] rogosae
Lineage: Bacteria; Bacillati; Bacillota; Clostridia; Lachnospirales; Lachnospiraceae
Description: Lactobacillus rogosae partial 16S ribosomal RNA
Rfam family: Bacterial small subunit ribosomal RNA
Source: RNAcentral
UACGUAUGGAGCAAGCGUUAUCCGGAUUUACUGGGUGUAAAGGGAGUGUAGGUGGCCAGGCAAGUCAGAAGUGAAAGCCUGGGGCUCAACCCCGGGACUGCUUUUGAAACUGCAGGGCUAGAGUGCAGGAGGGGCGAGUGGAAUUCCUAGUGUAGCGGUGAAAUGCGUAGAUAUUAGGAGGAACACCAGUGGCGAAGGCGGCUUGCUGGACUGUAACUGACACUGAGGCUCGAAAGCGUGGGGAGCAAACAGG